UCCUACGGGAGGCAGCAGUGGGGAAUUUUCCGCAAUGGGCGCAAGCCUGACGGAGCAAUACCGCGUGAGGGAAGACGGCCUAUGGGUUGUAAACCUCUUUUUUCAGGGAGGAAUCUAUGACGUGUACCUGAAGAAUAAGCAUCGGCUAACUCCGUGCCAGCAGCCGCGGUAAGACGGAGGAUGCAAGUGUUAUCCGGAAUCACUGGGCGUAAAGCGUCUGUAGGUGGUUUAAUAAGUCGACUGUUAAAUCUUGAGGCUUAACUUCAAAACUGCAGUCGAAACUAUUAAACUAGAGUAUAGUAGAGGUAAAGGGAAUUUCUAGUGGAGCGGUGAAAUGCGUAGAGAUUGGAAAGAACACCGAUGGCGAAGGCACUUUACUGGGCUAUUACUGACACUCAGAGACGAAAGCUAGGGUAGCAAAUGGGAUUAGAUACCCCAGUAGUCCUAGCUGUAAACAAUGGAUACUAGAUGUUGAACAGAUCGACCUGUGCAGUAUCAAAGCUAACGCGUUAAGUAUCCCGCCUGGGAAGUAUGCUCGCAAGAGUGAAACUCA
RNAcentral lists this ribosomal RNA (553 nucleotides) under uncultured bacterium. Its description in RNAcentral is "bacterial SSU rRNA". It matches the Rfam family "Bacterial small subunit ribosomal RNA", at positions 337 to 903 of the family's 1533-position model. The record is from RNAcentral.